GCCCGGGUGGCUCAGUCGGUUAAGCGACCGACUUUGGCUCGGGUCGUGAUCUCACAGUUUGUGAGUUCGAGCCCCACGUCGGGCU
Molecule: transfer RNA, 85 nt
Filed under: Felis catus (domestic cat)
Lineage: Eukaryota; Metazoa; Chordata; Mammalia; Carnivora; Felidae
Rfam family: tRNA
About the family: Transfer RNA (tRNA) molecules are approximately 80 nucleotides in length. Their secondary structure includes four short double-helical elements and three loops (D, anti-codon, and T loops). Further hydrogen bonds mediate the characteristic L-shaped molecular structure. tRNAs have two regions of fundamental functional importance: the anti-codon, which is responsible for specific mRNA codon recognition, and the 3' end, to which the tRNAs corresponding amino acid is attached (by aminoacyl-tRNA synthetases). tRNAs cope with the degeneracy of the genetic code in two manners: having more than one tRNA (with a specific anti-codon) for a particular amino acid; and 'wobble' base-pairing, i.e. permitting non-standard base-pairing at the 3rd anti-codon position.
Source: Rfam by way of RNAcentral